This 491-nucleotide ribosomal RNA is filed under the name uncultured bacterium. RNAcentral describes it as "partial 16S ribosomal RNA". It matches the Rfam family "Bacterial small subunit ribosomal RNA", at positions 28 to 508 of the family's 1533-position model. The record is from RNAcentral.
GAUGAACGCUAGCUACAGGCUUAACACAUGCAAGUCGCGGGGCAGCAUGGGGGUUGCUUGCAAUCCCCGAUGGCGACCGGCGCACGGGUGAGUAACGCGUAUCCAACCUGCCCUUCACCACGGGAUAACCCGGCGAAAGUCGGACUAAUACCGUAUGUUGUCCAUUGACGGCAUCCGAUUUGGACGAAAGGUUUGGCGGUGAAGGAUGGGGAUGCGUCCGAUUAGCUGGACGGCGGGGUGACGGCCCACCGUGGCGACGAUCGGUAGGGGUUCUGAGAGGAAGGUCCCCCACACUGGAACUGAGACACGGUCCAGACUCCUACGGGAGGCAGCAGUGAGGAAUAUUGGUCAAUGGGCGUAAGCCUGAACCAGCCAAGUAGCGUGCAGGAUGACGGCCCUAUGGGUUGUAAACUGCUUUUAUGCGGGGAUAAAGUGGCCCACGUGUGGGUUUUUGCAGGUACCGCAUGAAUAAGGACCGGCUAAUUCCGUGC